Neofelis nebulosa (Clouded leopard) is the source of this 2592-nucleotide long non-coding RNA. RefSeq lists it as uncharacterized. NCBI's taxonomy places the organism in Eukaryota, Metazoa, Chordata, Mammalia, Carnivora, Felidae. The record is from RefSeq and is a predicted model, not a curated record. The transcript is spliced from 2 exons.
UUUUAACAAAACUCUACUGCCUGUAUCCAGUUGAGCCUGAUCUAGUGCAGUCUCCCUGGAUCAGUUCAAUGUCUACUCUCUCCGAUGCCCCUUUAUACAUCAGUAUGGAACACGGAGAUGUUUAGAUGACGAGCAUAUGGUGAUGUCUUUAUACACUGGUAUUACCAUCUUUCCCGCAAAUGACUGCAAUGGCCUCUUAACCCUAUCUGGACUUCUCUUCCCUGCCUUUUCCAAAUCUUUCUUGGUACCACACUUACGUCAUCCUAUUAUACCUGUGGAAAUAGGUAUAUACCUCAGCAAAAAGUGAGCCGCAAAUUCCUCUCAUCCCUGUACACAUCAUGUUUUGCAAUGUGACUGUGCUGCCUCUGCCAUCAAAAGGGAGUCUAUUUCUUCACUUCCCUGGGUCUGGGCUGGCUUAACCACUUGCUCUAACCAACAGAUGUUAGGUGAAGUGACAACAUGGACUUCUGAACCGAGGCCUCCAAGACCACAUGGAACUGCCUUCUAGGCACAGGAGGAUGAAAGUGUAUGAAGCCCUCUCUACUGAGCCACCUAAACCAACUGGUGAACAGCAUCACCACCUGGACGACAUAGGAGAAAGGCAAUCUUAGUUCACUCAAACCCAUCAAGCCUGCAGGGGACUACGAAGCGGGAGUCACUCCAAGCAAACCCAGUGAAGAAGCCCAAGAUGACCUAAUCCAAAGAACUGUCAUUAAUGGUUGUGGUUUUAAAGCCACUAAAUUUGGGGUUAGUUUCUUAUGUAGUGAUCAUUAACUGAUUCAGCACCCCCCCAUGACCUCAUGAUUAAGUUUUAAACUCUUAAGACUUUCUUGGGAUCCCUUUUGUAGCUAUCCAAUCUCAUCCCUCAGUCCACCCAUAACUGUGAAAAUCAAUAAACGGAAAUCCCUCUAAAAUUGAGCCAGUAAGCCCUUGCUCCAGGAUGCAAACCUCAGUGGGUUCCUUUUUUACGGUAGUGACGAUUUGCCUAGUAUGCUGAAGUUAGCCUAUAAGUGAAUAAAAGGCAUGGUCCCCAGCAUUCUGUUUAAAAGACUGGUCACAGAAACCAGUAAGCAAUGAAUAUAUAUAUUUUUUAACUUGAGGAGUUAACAUUGUAUUGCUUGAGACUCAGUCCUGUUAAUUAAGCCUACUGUAAUUCUCUCCUAAAGAGAGGUAACUAGAGGUUUACAGUCACUCUGGCUACAGAGAAGUUUGUAACUAGUCAUCAAAACAAAACAAUGCAAAACAAGUAUUCCCUGGGAUUUCAUUCAAAAUGGGACACAGAAACCAACGAAUAAAUCACUACAUACAUAUCCCUAAAAGUUAGCAAUGCGCUUAAAUACAAAGAAACAAAAUAUCAAACUCAUGAAAGCCAGUACUGAAAGAACUACAUACUUGGACUUAGCAUUUCUCUUCCACCUAAUGUGGUCUUUUGGCAUCUUUUUUUUAUGGAACAUACUUUUUUUUAAAGAAAUUACAACUGUUAGUUACACUGACAUAUGAAUGUUGUAAAACCUUACAAUAAGGGAAUAUACAUGUUCUAUUCUCCAUAGGUAUUCACAAUGUUAGAAAUCUGUCAUAUAUUUAUUUACAUGUAUAUUCAUGAGUAAAAACAUACUUUUACAUAACUGGUAACAGAAUAUACAGGUUACCUUUUUUACCUUUAUUUCUCUCCAUGUCACUGCAUCCAAAUCCUCAUUCUUUAUAACAGCUACACAGUAUUCUACUGCCUGAAUGUACCCAUCAUUUUAACCAUUCCACUACUGAUGCUUAUCUAUGGAGUUUCCACUUUUUUUUUUUUUUAAGGCAGGGAGGGAGAGAGGGAGAGAGUUAUCGUAAGGAGGCUCUGCACCCAGGUGCCCCGAGAGUUUCCACUUUUUUAAUGUUGUUGCAAUUAAUUAUUUUUAUUUUUAAAUAACUUAAAACCUAUCAAAAGGCUGCAAAACCAGUACAAAGUUCUGGUAUACCUUCACUCAACUUUUCCAAAUGUUAAUGUCUUCUAUAACUAUGGUACAAUUAUCCAAACCUAGAAGUUAACAUUGCUAUACUACUGUAGCUAAUUUACAUACGUUAUUUGAAUAUCACCCUUUUUCCCACUAACGUUUUAUUUUUCCUGAUUUAGGAUCUAAUCCUGGAUUUCACACUGCAAUUCAUUCUCAUGUUUCCUUGGGCUCUUCCAAUCUGAGAUACAACCGUGUGCAUAAACAGACUAGUCACCUCCUGAGACUGCAGCCUUGAGAAUUCUCCAGGUCCGGAAGUUGAAUCUUGACUAGUCAACCUGACCAGGAUCAUUCAAUGGACUAAAGAUAGGAACGAACUACAUGGACCAAUUAUGGCCAAUAAGGUAUGAGGGGAAAUACGUGGAGGGUUUAUGGACUUUCCUUCAUUCUUCUAGGGACAUAUAUCAAAACAUUACUGUUUCCAGUUUGAGGGCACUGUUGUGUAAGCAUGUGAUACUUAGCAUCAUAGCCAUCCUGAGACCACACGUGGUCAAUCUUAUGACCCCAAACUAUUACCCUGGGAAGAGCAGAGCAUAUGAAUGUAAUGAGCCCACCAUGUCUUUGGUGGUAUUACACUGCUAAAAUAAGCACACAA